Molecule: ribosomal RNA, 494 nt
Filed under: uncultured bacterium
Lineage: Bacteria
Description: partial 16S ribosomal RNA
Rfam family: Bacterial small subunit ribosomal RNA
Source: RNAcentral
GACGAACGCUGGCGGCGUGCUUAACACAUGCAAGUCGAACGGAAAGGCCUGCUUUCCCUUGUGGAUUGCGGGUACUCGAGUGGCGAACGGGUGAGUAACACGUGAGUGAUCUGCCCCCAACUUGGGUAUAAGCCUGGGAAACUGGGUCUAAUUCCCGAUAGGACUGCAGGGUGGUGCCUGUGGUGGAAAACGAUUUUCUAGUGGUUGGGGAUGAGCUCGCGGCCUAUCAGCUUGUUGGUGGGGUAAUGGCCUACCAAGGCGGCGACGGGUAGCCGGCCUGAGAGGGUGGACGGCCACAUUGGGACUGAGAGACGGCCCAGACUCCUACGGGAGGCAGCAGUGGGGAAGAUUGCACAAUGGGCGGAAGCCUGAUGCAGCGACGCCGCGUGGGGGAUGACGGCCUUCGGGUUGUAAACUCCUUUCGACCGCGAGGAAGCCACCUGGUUGGAAGGGUGGUGACGGUAGUGGUAGAAGAAGCACCGGCUAACUACGUG